This 276-nucleotide long non-coding RNA is filed under the name Setaria viridis. Its description in RNAcentral is "long non-coding RNA (SVIR_LNC011156)". The record is from RNAcentral. Lineage: Eukaryota; Viridiplantae; Streptophyta; Magnoliopsida; Poales; Poaceae.
GUAUAGAAGGAUUUGACAAGUGGUGAUUUAAUUCAUGUACCAAUUUAUGUGAUCUGUUUCCUUCGGAUAACAGCAAGAAUGCAGGCCUCAUCAGAAUUCAGCGUAUCGGCAGGGUUAGACCCAGGUCCUCGAGCUCUGUGGAGGGUUAGCAUUUUUUGACUGAGCCUCUGCUAUGGCACAGUGGUCAAGCAAAGAGGCGAGCUAACCACCUUGAGAUCUUAUGGCCAGGAGAAACUGCAUAAUUCCACAAGUUCAGAAUACUGUAUUAUAGUGUUG